ACGCCAGUAGUUCAAUUGGUAGAGCACCGGUCUCCAAAACCGGCUGUUGUGGGUUCAAGUCCUACCUGGCGUGCCA
RNAcentral lists this transfer RNA (76 nucleotides) under Parafannyhessea umbonata. It matches the Rfam family "tRNA". Rfam says of the family: Transfer RNA (tRNA) molecules are approximately 80 nucleotides in length. The record is from RNAcentral. Lineage: Bacteria; Bacillati; Actinomycetota; Coriobacteriia; Coriobacteriales; Atopobiaceae. RNAcentral also lists the same sequence under 2 other names.